Long non-coding RNA from Priapulus caudatus, 691 nucleotides. RefSeq lists it as uncharacterized. The record is from RefSeq and is a predicted model, not a curated record. NCBI's taxonomy places the organism in Eukaryota, Metazoa, Priapulida, Priapulimorpha, Priapulimorphida, Priapulidae. The transcript is spliced from 3 exons.
GACACGAGUCUGCGGAUUGAAGCCCAUAGGCUCACUCCUACCCCGGCGCCUGCGUUCUCUACAAGUCAGGUGAAAGUUCUGAACAUCUACACACAGGAUCUCGACUGGGCGAAAACUAAAAGCGAUAGUAUAGCCGAUGGCACCAUGGUCGCCGCCCGUGAUCUAGAGUAUGACUCUCGUCGGAGCUCGAUGACGUCGAUCGGUCAAAACAUGCCGUUGCAGUGGGUCGACUUUGGCAUCUACGACUAUCUCAGCUUCGCUGAGUACACGGAAGUCGACGAGGAGUACGAUUCGGAUGACCCCAACUUCAGUCUGAGCGUCGGGCCACCUAACAUCUAGAUAUAGCGACGCCGCCCGCUGGAAUCACGGUCGACCCCCACCUUCUCAACUCCGGAGUAACGACGAAAAUUGGCACGUGGCAAGAAGGAGUUCGUCGGAUCUGUGCUUGGUGCGUGAUGUAUCUGUGCCUGACGACGCUGUCGAGUCGAGCGCUGUGUGCACACGAUCGCAAAAAAACACGAGCUUGUUUCGCAAACCUAACGACGUAAGCACCCGCCGGAUAUUGUGAAGGAAAGGCUUUGAUUGCCCUGCGAUGCGGUUUAAUGGCAACAGUGCGGGAAAAUGAAAGGUCGAGGAUACGAGGGGGCGAGAGCCUGAUCUGCAGGUUCGUAGUAAGGGUGCGCAUUAGUGU